ACUAGUGACCAAACCUGCUUGUCAAAGCCUGAUCUCAUCAGUUCUCAGAAGCUAAACAGGUCUGGGCAUGGUUGGUACUAGGACGGGGGACGGCUGAUAAUAUCAGGUGCCACAGUG
Molecule: ribosomal RNA, 117 nt
Filed under: Periophthalmus magnuspinnatus
Lineage: Eukaryota; Metazoa; Chordata; Actinopteri; Gobiiformes; Gobiidae
Source: RNAcentral